GGAACUGCAUUGCACGAGAGAAUUCAACAGGUUCCCUUGAAGACUUUCUUGCGGAUGUUGCUGCUUCACAUCAUCAAGGAGGCAGUGGUUCCGGCGCACAUACCACCAGAAAUUGGCGAACACACCGGAGCGCACAUGAUGGCAGUGACAGCGAGUCCGAAAAUGUGGACCUUAACUCUUGGACAAGAUCUGGUGGUCCUCUGAUGAGGACAACAUCUGCUGAUAAGUUUAUCGACUUUGUCCAGAACUUGGAGAUUGGUUCACGAUUGAACAAAGGAUUGACUAUUGACCUCAACAAUCUCGUUCCUCAGAUGGCUGGUAGAGACCUGUUCUCCCCGAGCCCAAGGG
This 348-nucleotide unclassified non-coding RNA is filed under the name Hevea brasiliensis (rubber tree). Lineage: Eukaryota; Viridiplantae; Streptophyta; Magnoliopsida; Malpighiales; Euphorbiaceae. The record is from RNAcentral.